CAGUCGGCCGCGGGAAUACGAAGGGGGCUAGCGUUGCUCGGAAUGACUGGGCGUAAAGGGCGCGUAGGCGGAUGGCACAGUCAGAUGUGAAAUUCCCGGGCUUAACCUGGGGGCUGCAUUUGAUACGUGUUGUCUGGAGUGAGGAAGAGGGUCGUGGAAUUCCCAGUGUAGAGGUGAAAUUCGUAGAUAUUGGGAAGAACACCGGUGGCGAAGGCGGCGACCUGGUCCUUUACUGACGCUGAGGCGCGAAAGCGUGAGGAGCAAACAGGAUUAGAUACCCCCGUAGUCCCUGUCUCUUAUA
This 301-nucleotide ribosomal RNA is filed under the name uncultured bacterium. RNAcentral's name for it is "partial 16S ribosomal RNA". It matches the Rfam family "Bacterial small subunit ribosomal RNA", at positions 509 to 808 of the family's 1533-position model. The record is from RNAcentral.